GUGUACAGUUCAGUGGCAUAAAAUGCCUUCACAUUGUUGUGGAGCCAUUGUCAUGUCCAUCUCCAGAAUUUUUCAUCCUUUCUUCAGCCCCUGAAUUGCUUCCAGAAGCUACUUUAUGAAUCACAGAAAAGAAGCUCUUUCAUCUUAUAAUGGUGGCAACUAUUUAUUUUUGAAAUCAAAGUUGGAAUUCUUCAUGUUGAUACCCCUCUGAACCGCUAGGAAUAUAUUUUUAAAAAAUGGCUUUUGGUUGUGUAUACAUAUGCUCUCAUGGAAGGACCAAAGGUAGUUCUUGACAGAAAUUUCAAUAAAGACUUUUUGAAAAGGUU
Bubalus bubalis (water buffalo) is the source of this 326-nucleotide long non-coding RNA. RefSeq lists it as uncharacterized. The record is from RefSeq and is a predicted model, not a curated record. The transcript is spliced from 2 exons. NCBI's taxonomy places the organism in Eukaryota, Metazoa, Chordata, Mammalia, Artiodactyla, Bovidae.